GGAGGUUUAGCUCAAUGGAUGAGCGUAUGUUUAGCAUGCAUCGGUCCUGGGUUCAAUCCCCAGUUCCUCCA
RNAcentral lists this transfer RNA (71 nucleotides) under Camelus bactrianus (Bactrian camel). It matches the Rfam family "tRNA". From Rfam's summary of the family: Transfer RNA (tRNA) molecules are approximately 80 nucleotides in length. Lineage: Eukaryota; Metazoa; Chordata; Mammalia; Artiodactyla; Camelidae. The record is from Rfam by way of RNAcentral. RNAcentral also lists the same sequence under 2 other names.